This 245-nucleotide long non-coding RNA is filed under the name Gossypium barbadense (sea-island cotton). RNAcentral's name for it is "long non-coding RNA (GBAR_LNC005904)". The record is from RNAcentral. Lineage: Eukaryota; Viridiplantae; Streptophyta; Magnoliopsida; Malvales; Malvaceae.
AGUGGCCUUUCUCAUGACAAAAAGCACAUUCAUCUUUCCCGAGCCUGGACUUUGACUUUGAUCUCCCCUUUUGAGUUUUCUUCCGAGUGUAUGAACGACCUCGGACUACUAAAGCUUCUGUAUCUCUGAUUGAGUUUUUCUGUUUGUCCUUCUUUCUCUGUUCAUAACUGUAUAAGGCCGCACAGACUUCGCUCAGAGAUAUAUCACUCCUGCCAUGAAGUAGAGUAGUUUCUAGGAACUCAAAC